RNAcentral lists this ribosomal RNA (365 nucleotides) under uncultured Lactobacillus sp. RNAcentral describes it as "bacterial SSU rRNA". It matches the Rfam family "Bacterial small subunit ribosomal RNA", at positions 179 to 524 of the family's 1533-position model. The record is from RNAcentral. Lineage: Bacteria; Bacillati; Bacillota; Bacilli; Lactobacillales; Lactobacillaceae.
ACAGAUGAUGCCUAUCAACUGUUUAAAAAGAUGGUUCUGCUAUCACUCUUGGGAUGGACCUGCGGUGCAUUAGCUAGUUGGGUAGGGGUACGGGCCCUACCAAGGCGAUGAUGCAUAGCCCGAGUUGAGAGACUGAUCGGCCACAUUGGGACUGAGACACGGCCCAAACUCCUACGGGGAGGCAGCAGUAGGGAAAUCUUCCACAAUGGACGCAAGUCUGAUGGAGCAACGCCGCGUGAGUGAAGAAGGGUUUCGGCUCGUAAAGCUCUGUUGUUGGUGAAGAAGGACAGGGGUAGUAACUGACCUUUGUUUGACGGUAAUCAAUUAGAAAGUCACGGCUAACUACGUGCCAGCAGCCGGGUAAU